Molecule: long non-coding RNA, 245 nt
Filed under: Lathyrus oleraceus (garden pea)
Lineage: Eukaryota; Viridiplantae; Streptophyta; Magnoliopsida; Fabales; Fabaceae
Description: Pisum sativum (pea) long non-coding RNA (PSAT_LNC032749)
Source: RNAcentral
AGGUGAUGAUGAGGAUGAUGGAAUAUGACAAUAAAGAGAAAUGGAAGAUUCAAGAUAAAAUGGUGAUUAUGGAGGUUAAAGUUUGGUUAUGUGAUUUUGGUAUUUUGGUGGAGAUGAAGACUUGUUCAAGGUUGAAAGUUGGUUGAAGAAUGGUGAAGAAUUUUAUGAUUUUUUUGGUGGAUCGUGAAGUUGUGAAUUUUUUAGUGAGUUUGUAAAGUUUGAUUAUGGAAUAGUGAAGAAGUUUG